RNAcentral lists this small RNA (160 nucleotides) under Pseudoxanthomonas spadix BD-a59. Its description in RNAcentral is "Xanthomonadaceae sRNA sX15". It matches the Rfam family "Xanthomonadaceae sRNA sX15". The record is from Rfam by way of RNAcentral. Lineage: Bacteria; Pseudomonadati; Pseudomonadota; Gammaproteobacteria; Lysobacterales; Lysobacteraceae.
GGAGAGAGCCGCCUCGAUCCUGCCCACGCUUGUGAAGUUCGAGCUUGAGCUCGUUCAACUGUUCGGGCUAGGGACGAGGUCGAUGUGCGGCGGCCCGGGCUCCUACACGUGCUUGGCAACACUGCGCUCCAUCGGCCUGCCGCACAUCGCUCUCCACCCA